This is an unclassified non-coding RNA of Panthera pardus (leopard), 163 nucleotides long. The record is from Ensembl. NCBI's taxonomy places the organism in Eukaryota, Metazoa, Chordata, Mammalia, Carnivora, Felidae.
AGGGCUGGACUGGCAGCCCGGCAGCCUCUUCCAUAUGCCCACAGGUAGUGACAGUGCCAGCAUCCCUACACUGCCCCGGCCACGUGCCUCGCCGUGACUUGGAGAGGCCACCUCUAGAGGGGAGAGAAGAGUUGGAAUCCAUACCUUCCCUAUUAAGACUUCC